This is a long non-coding RNA of Acinonyx jubatus (cheetah), 16453 nucleotides long. RefSeq lists it as uncharacterized. The record is from RefSeq and is a predicted model, not a curated record. Lineage: Eukaryota; Metazoa; Chordata; Mammalia; Carnivora; Felidae. The transcript is spliced from 7 exons.
CACUAUGUGUAGGGUACUUAUAUUUUUUGCAUCAGUUUGUAACUGCUACAUUAUGGUUUUUAUUUAUAAACUUUCAUAUUAUUUGCAGAUCAUUUUCCAGCUCUAACAUGUGACAAUUGGCUUUAUUUAUGCUAUCUUUUGCUGUAUAACCUAAGAUAAGCUUGCAUAGUCAAAUACUUCCUUCCUCUCUCCCCCUUUUUCAACCAUUUGGCCUAACACUGUGUAAAAUACAUGAUAUCCUAAAUUUUUCUAUUAUUUUUAUUGUUUUAUAUUUAUACUCAAUUCUAUAAUUCAUAUGGAAAAUAUUUUAUACAGCAUUAUCUAUAUAUCUCCUGGGGAAGUCCUCUAAGUUUGUUAGCUUUUUCUUUAUGAUUUCCAUGUCUUUGGUUUUUGUUCUGUUUUUUUGAAUUAUUUUCUGCACUCUCAUGAAAGUUUUUCAAAUUUCAGUAACAUACUCACCUUAAAUUUUUGUGUUGAACUUUAAAAUUCAAUAACCUCGUUUCCUAGUUAGAUUGUUUGUUCCUAAUGUAACUGGAUCAUUUUGUGUGCAGUUACAGUUUAUUUUGUGGUGGAUAAAUUCAUCAAUCCUUUGUGAUUAUCCUUUGCUAGAAACUGCUUCCUGUGUUUGCUUAGAUGGUCCCUGAGGAACACUAUAAUUUUUAUUUGCCAGGUUAUUACUCUCCUUACCCUUUGGUGCCAGCUUGACUUCUGGUUGCCUUGUACAGUGGCAAUUCCUCACAUGAUGGAAAGGUGUGUAGUUCACAUCUGCAAGUUUGUGGUGUUCUGCUGGUGAAUUCUGGUCUCUUUUGGGGCAAUAAAUGGAGGCCAUUCCAUUUCUAGUCUUCUCUACAGUGGUAGAGAGAACUAAGUUUAGCAACUCUUGGCUUCUCUUCUAGGAAACGACUUUGCCAUGACCAAUUCUUCUCCCUGUAUCUCCCAGAUAUCUUAUACCUACAGAAGCAACAUCCUGAAGGGCCCAGAAGCUCCUGGGCUCUAGAGAAGUAGUUUGAUUAUAGUUGGAGAAAGACCACAAAAAAAGCUGCAUAGAAGAAAGCUUCUUCACAGCUUCUCUUUCUAAUACUAACUCACAUGAUAUGAUUUUCAAGUGGUUUUGGCUACUCUGUAUUACUGUGAAUAUAUUACUGAGUAAUAUAGUCUAUAUUACUGAGGUGUUCAAGGUUAUAAAAUUGAGAUUAUUAUUUUUUUAUUAAAAAUUUUAAUGUUUUAUUUAUUUUUGAGUGAGAGAGAGAAAGAGACAGAGCAUGAGCAGGGGAGGGACAGACAGAGAGGCAGACACAGCACAGAGCCUGAUGCAGGGCUUGAACUCACAAACCAUGAGAUCAUGACCUGAGCUGAAGUUGGAGGCUUAACUGAGUGAGCCACCCAGGCACCUCUAAUAGUAAGAAUAUUCAAGACAAACAUAAGAACUAGCCAACAUAUGUUAUUUGCCAACCCCUGUACCUGGCAAACUAUAAAUCUUAAAUAUAUAUUCCAUCAAAAUGGAGAAGGGAGUCCAAACAUUUGAGAAUUAAUACAGAAAAAUUUAGGCUUUCUUUAAAAUUUAAAUUUUAACAUUCCUAAAGCAAUACAUUUCUUUUUUUGGGGGAAGUUGAUUUUAUUAUUCUUUUAGUCAUCUACAAGAUGAGUUUGCUUUAAUGAGUUUGCUUAAAAUGAAUAAAAAAUGAAACAAAAUGUAAGGUAACUUGUCCAAGAAAUUUGAAAAAAAUCAAGUAAUAUAUUUUUCAUGAAUCUAUUAUGAAAUGACAAGGAACAAUGAAGCAAACCUCAAAAUUUAACUGAAGAUAAACUUCACUGAAAGUAAUUUUUACUUAGUUAUUCUUUUAAUUGGUAAUCAACUGAGAUAGAAUAUUUCAUCAACAACUUAAUUUUAUCUGCUACUUUAUAUAUAUUUGAUUCAGAUUAAUCCACUUGUGAAUAUUCUACUAAUAAAUAUAAAAUGACUUAGUAGACUAAUUAUGCUAAAAAUUGUAUGUAGGUUAGUUCUGUGGUUAUCAAUGCAAUAUAAGUGUACAAAGAUCUCAAUUAGUAAAGAUGACAAAUAUUAUGGUACAUUUCACAAGUAGAACAGUUUUUAAAAAAAAUCAUAAAAAUCAUAAAUAAAAGAAAAAGACUUAAUUGUGAAAAUCAAUCUUCUCUUUGGGUGGAUUUACCAAGGAAAUUUAGACUAGAGGAUUAUAUAGGGCCAGGUGAUGCCUCUGGGAGAAAAUUGGGGUAUGAAGAUUGAUAGACAAACAAACCAAAAAAAAAAAACAAAAAAAAAAAAAAAAGAAAAGAAACCAGAGAAAUGCUACUUCUAUCAAUUAUCUUCCUCUUUCAGAAAUACACCAAUAAAAAAUAUUCCAAAGUGGUUUACAUUGGCAGUUUAGGGACUACCAUCAAGGAAAUGGUAGCUAAUGUUGCAUUUUAAAUAGAGGAAUGUGGGUCUCAUAAAUUCUGCUAUAUUUUAGCAAUGCCCAAGUUGUCUUAAAUCCUGAUGUAUUAGAAUUGUUAUGAAUAUGUAAAAUUCUUUGUCUCUUGUAGCAAUAGUUGACUUAAAAACUACUUUGUCUGAUAUUACUCCAGCCAUCCCUGCUUUCCUUUGGUUACUAUUUGUAUGGAAUAUCUUUUUCUAUCCUUUUACUUUCAAAACAUUUGUCUCUUUAUAUUUAAAGUGAGUCUCUUGUAAGUAGCAGAUAGGCCAAUCAUGCUUUCUUUUUAAAAACAUUCAUUAUGCCAAUCUCUGCCUUUUAAUUGAUGAGUUUCAUCCAUUUACAUUUAAAGUGAUUACUUAUAAGGAAGGACUUCAUUCUGCCAUUUUUAAGUUGAUUUUUACAUAUCUUAUAUAUUCUUUGUUCCCCAAUAUCUCUAUUACUGCCUUUUUUUCCUGUUUAGUUAAUUUUUUUCUAGUGUCCUGUUUUGAUUUUCUUCUCACUUUCUUUUCUGAGUUUCUUUUUGUUAUUUUCUUAGUGGUUACGCUUGAGAAUAUAAUUACAUCCUAAAUAUAUGAUAAUUCAGUUUGCAUUGAUACCAAUAGCAACCAAAGCUACAAUAGCUUCAAUAGCAUACAAAAACUCUGCUCCUUUAUUGUUCUAUUCCUACCAUUUCAUGUUGUUAUUGUCACAAAUCACAUCUUUUUACAUACAGUGUGCCCAUUAAAAUGGAUGUGAAAUUAUUAUUUUACAUAUGUGUCUUUUAAAUUAUAUAGGAAAAAAAGGCAUUGUAAAAUGAAAAUAUAAUAAUGUUAAUUUUUAUAUUUUCCUAUGUUGUUAUCAUGACUAAUUAAAAAAAAUUCUUUGUAUGGCUUUCAGUUACUAUCUAAUGUUUUUAAUUUCAGCCUGAAAAUCUCCCUUUAAUAUUUCUUACAGGAAACAUUUAUCAGUGAUGAACUCUCUUGACCUGUUUAUCUGGGAAUUGUAUUAAUUUCUACUUCAUUUUUCAAAAAUAGUUUUGCCAGACAUAGAAUUCUUGAUUGGCAGGUUUUUUUUUUCCCCCUUUCAACCCUUUAACAGUCAUUCCUCUGCCUUCUGGCCACCAUGGUUUCUGAUGAGAAACUGGCUUCUAGUCUUAUUGAGGAUCCCUGUACAUGACAAGUCAUAUCUUUCCCUUGAUGCUUUCAAGAGUCUCUGUCUUUCAACAGUUGAUUGUAACAUAUUUCGGUGUGGAUCUCUUUGCAUUUAUCCUACUUAGAAUCGGUAGAUGUAUAAAUUCAUUUCUUUCACCACAUUGCGAGUGUUUUCAGCCAUUAUUUCUUCAAACAUUUUUUCUUUCCCUUUCUCUUUUCUUCUUCUGGGAAUCCCAUAUUGUGUAUAUUGACACCCCACUGGUAUUCAUUAUUUUUUUGUUUCCGUUCAUCACAUUAGAUGAUUUUCUUCUGCCUGCUCAAAUCUGUGUUGAAUCCCUGUAGUAAAUUUUCCAUUUCAGCUAUUAUACUGCACAAUUUCAGAAUUUCUAUUUAAUUCUAUUUAUGUUUAUCUCUUUGUUGAUAUUUUCUAUUUGUUGAGACAUCAUUCUCCUGGUUUCCUUUAGUUGUUUGUGUAUAGGCUUCUUUAAUUCUUUGAGCAUAUUGAAGACAGUUGAUUUAAAGUCUUUGUCUAGUAUGUUUAAUCUUUGGGUGUCUUCAGUUAUGGUUUCUGCAUAAUUCUUUUUAUCCUGUGAGUAAGCCAUUCUUUCCUAUUUCUUUGCAUGUUUCAUAAUUUUUGGUUGAAAACUGGACAUUUGCAUAUUAAGAUUUGGCAACUCUGGAAAUCAGAUUUUACUCCCUCUCCAGAGUUUUGCUGUUGUGACUUUUUGGGGACUACAAUUGUCCAUUUGUUUAGUAACAUUUCCAAAUGACUCUUGCAAAGACUGUAUCCUUUGUCAUGUGUGGUCAUUGAAGUCUUUCUCCCACUAUCUCAGCAAUCAGCUACUGACUUAACAGGGAUUUCCUUAAAUGCCAAAAUUUAGCAACUUCUUUGUUCAUUAAGCACUCUCUGGUUGUUGUAGGAUUUUGUAUUAGUAUCCAGAGUUUUAAAAGAUUUGAUUCUGAAAACUUUUGCCAGCUUACUGGUUGCUUUCACAGAGGGAUGGAUCUAUGGAGCUCCUUAAUCCACCAUUUUUGGUGAUGUUCUCUUUGCCAGGAGUUAUUUUAUUCAUUCUGAGGAAAAAUGAAUUAGGUCCUGGGAUUUUAUUUCCCCACAUCCUUCUUGUUUCUUACUGUGUAAAUUUACAGAAAUCUUUUCUCUUAUGAUUUCCAUGUACAUAAACUCAAGAACAACAUGUAGAUGUGAAAGAAUAGUCAAUACUUUAAACUCUGUAAAACUUCUAUAGCUUCUUUUGCUUCUAUAGACUUAACGUUUAAGCUCAUUAAACUAAUUUAACAGAAAUUGUCAUCUUAAAAUUAAAUUUUGUGUCCUUAUACUAACAAAAACACAAUUUGAAAUUAUCAUGGAAAUAGCACUUUGGGCUAUUUAUUUUGAGAGAGAGAGAGAGAAAGCAGGCAGGGGAGGGGCAGAUAGAGAGGAAGACAGAGAAUACAAAGUAGGCUCCAUGCUGUCACCACAGAACCCAAGGCGGCCAUCAAAUUCCUGAGUAGUAACAUCAUGACCUGAGCUAAAAACAAGAGUGGGACGCUUCACCAAAUGAGUCACCCAGGCACCAAAGGUCCUUUUCUAAAGAAAAAUGUUCAAUAUAAACUAUAAUAUAUAUUGAUAUCAUAUAAUUUAACCAAAAUUAUAUAAUAUUUAUAAAAAAGGAGUUUAAAUCUGUGUAUGAAAAUUCUUUAUUCUCUACCAUAAAAAUGCCUUAGGGGAAGCUAAUUUAAUUUCAAACAGUUGAAUUUAUUUUAUUUCCAUACACAUCAAUUAUGUUAUAUUUAAAUAUAAAACUAUGAUAAUGAUGAAUAAAGUGGCAUGACACAUUCUUCUGGUGCUUUUGAAUAGCCUGUCUUUAAUGUGGCAACUCUUAACAGUUAAAGAAACUCUGACAGUUAAGUAAUCCCUUCACCACUUAAGUACAACAGGAUUGUAUUAUUAAGUACACUGCCUGGAAAUGGUGUGCUUUUUUCAUUCACACUAUAAACAGUUUUGUUAGAUUGGUAAUCCUGCUUGUCAGAUUUGUUCACUGUUUGAUAUUAAUCAGUAGGUUUAUAAAAGGUGCAGCACUGGACAGAAAUGAACAGAAAAUACGUUUUAAAUAAUGUUUCCAUAAAUCAUAGAGAGUCAGACAUCUCUAACUCUGAGGUGGAUGGAAUAUUUUGACGUUUUGCGGGUGGUUUGAUAGCUUGCUACUAAACCAAAAGUUUAAUAGCAGAGCUACUGUCCAUUUCCAUUACAUGCCUAUAGAAUCGGCUCUCACGGUAUAAGUUUGUUAAAAGUUCAUGAGAUUUUUUUUUUCUGGGGUAUUUAAUGAAUCACUUUUUAAAGCUUAUAUUCUUCUAGAAUAUGAAAACUAAAAAUGCUAUGACUAUAUAUUGAAUUACAUAAUUUUAAGCCAUGAGCAGUUAUACCACAUAUGUCUUCAUCUUCUUUAAAUGUUUUUCUGUAGUUCGGAAAACUGUCAUAUAACCUUUCCCUACAUAUUCCACUAUCUAAGCAACAUUUUUAUUCACUGAAUAUAAUUUGUUUUUAUUUUACUGCAAAGGUUAACAUUGCUUUAGAGGUAGUUUUAAAAACUUUUUAGGAACUCCGGGAUUUAGAAUAUGUAUCCAGGGUGCUGUUAUAAGGGGUCAUUAAAUGAAGAACUAGUUACCUAAAUUGAGGGAUGGAAAGUGACUCAUGAUAGGUAUAAUUCCUCAACAAACAUAUAGGUAACUUUGCUAGUUUUGCACAUAGGUCUUUAUUUCCAAAUUUUGUAGAUUACAGAAAUGAAUGUAAUGAUAUUAUCUGAAAGCUGUAUGUCUUAAAAUGUGCUUUGAUCUCUUGUGCUCACUGGUUCUUCCCAAGCCUCCCAGCUCUCCCCAUGGCUAUCUGUUCUUCAUGCUCACAGCUUCAAGGUGCUAGCAAAUUUUUUUCUUUUCUUUCCUUUCCUUUCCUUUCCUUUCCUUUCCUUUCCUUUAGUGUUUUAAAAAGUUUGUUUAUUUGUGGGAGAGAGAGAGAGAGAGACAGAGCAUGAGUUGGGGAGAGAUAGAGAGAGAGGGAGACACAGAAUCUGAAGCAGGCUCCAGGCUCUGAGCUGUCAGCACUGAACCCGACGCGGGGCUCCAACUUGUGAACUGCAAGAUCAUGACCUGAGCUGAAGUUGGAUGCUUAACUGACUGAGCCACCCAGGCGCCCCACGGGGUUGGCAAAUUUUAAAUUUUUUCCAUGCUAAACUAAUGCUCGCAAAUUACACAUGAAUAUUGUUUGGUUCUGAAUUCUUCUCUUCACGCUCUCAUUCCCUUCUUCAGCCCCUAAUCUUGAUAACUUCCUUGCUUGAUCUUUUCCUGCCAGAUGAAACGUUACUGUGCAGUGGCAUUGACCCGAUCUCAGCAAUUGCUGGAGGGUAGUGGGUAACCCAGGGACACAAGAGGGAGAAUAAGAUCAGACCUAAUGAUGUCCAUCCCAACUAUAGCAGGACUGAAUUUCUUAAUCCAUUGUUUAAUGUCGGUUAAAAUCCAUAAAUGACUCAUAAAUAGAUAUCAAUGAGAUGUAAUCUCUAAAGACUUCCAUACCACCAACCCUUUUGUUAUCCAGUGACAGGGAAUUGAAGAAUUCUUGGCAGACCUGAUUUGCAUUGUAUUUUCCUUGGCUUUUCAUUUUAUGAGUUUGUGACUACUGGCAAAAAUGCAGCCAAACAACAGGUACUUCAGAAACUGUUCAGGUGUGCAGCGACAUGAGCAUGUGAACUCAGAGUUAGGAAUUGAGAGCCUUGCACUACAGGGUGUUUUUGAACAAUGGAAGCAGACUAUUUUCUCCGAUGCGUUAUGGAGCUGAUCAGAAAUAUGAUGAGUUGUGGGCCAGGAAACCUGACUUCUGGUCAUGGAUCCCCCAUGAUCUCCAAGCCACCACAAGUGUCCACAACUUCUAGGCCAUGACUCCUUUAUUAUAAAAAAAUGGUUGUGCUCUGUGGUUUCUCAGGUCCCUUUCUUCUUUCAUAGCUAAUACCAAAUUAUCUUUCAUGAUAAUACCAAAUGUGCUAAGGCUUCAUAGUAGAUGCCAAUAAAAGGAGAGGCUAAACUAUGAAAUGGGAGAAGAAGAGGAGGGAAACAACUAUUCUUUUAUUGAAAAAAACAUAUUCCAUAUUAUGCAUAACGAUAGAAAGGGGAAUAAAGGAAAUAAUAGACCAAUUACUUUUCUUAGUGAGCAAAUGUUUGCAGUUUUUAGGUUUAUUUCUGAGUAACAAGACUUCUUUUAUGGGCUUUAUGAAUGACAUGAAACUCCUUAGACAUAUAAUAAUUUAGUUUGCCUGUCUUUUGAUAUUAUUUUCAUCAGAUCGAGGAUAUUAUUGAUAUUAAGCCAUCGCUGGCCAUUUUUAUUCAAAGGUUUAAAAAGUACACUGAAGUAUUAUCUGGGGUAGACUCAAUUUUAGGAGAAAACAUAAACACGGAGAAACCAUAAUCCUGGUGUAAUGUAGGAAUCUAAUUAAGACUAAUGAGGCAACAUUAAAUUUAAUGUAUGAUGCAUUUUAUAUGUCUCACCAUUAGAGCUGCAGCAAGCUGUUCAUCAGAGUCAUCUUUGGUGACUAUUCCCCUACGGGCAUUCUUCAGCAAUCUGGGAUUAGGCCGCGGUACUGGGUUUGUGGAGAAGCCAACACAAAAGCAAACUUGUAAAGUAAGCAUGCCAUUGGAAUCAUCUGUUGAUGGCCUUAGCUGGCUAAAAAAAAGCUAGACAUGUUUAUGCUGUGGGAAAGGUUCUCCUCGGUUUCAAGGCAUGACUAUUGAGUAUAGGGAUCACUAAGAAUCAUAGUCAGUCACCAAAGAAAUUAGAAGAGAAGCAGGACAGAGCAAGUAGCAAAAAGAAGAGGUGAUGCUUUCAUUGGCUUCCUAAGAUUCAGGGCCAUUACUGAUGUGGAGGAAUUGGGAAGGGUCUUGGGAGAAGACUUUUUCAUGCUGGAAGUUGCAACAGAGGUUAGUUGAUGUGCAUAUAGACACAAAGGAAGGAGAAUUGAUUCCCAGGAGUCUGGAAUUGAGAGCGUUUCACAUAACGUGAUAAACAUGUACAAUGAUAUCUAGCAUAAUAAAUUACAACAGCUGAUGCUUACUGUGGGGUCUCUGCAUACUAGGCAGUGUUUUAAGUGUUCAGUGUGCAUGAUUUCAUUCGGUUCUUCCGACCACCCCAUGAGGUAGCCAUGAUUAUUGUUCUGACUUUACAUGAAAAAAAAAAAUCAAGCAGAGAGAGAUUAACUAAGGAGGUAUAUAGCUAGUCAGUGGCCAAAUAGAAUUAGAACACAGGAAUCUGAAUCACAGCUUGAACCCCUAAGCCUAGAGAAAUAGGCUUAUAUCUUCAUAGAACACAGAGUAACCUUGAAACCACACGUGCCGCAAUGGGCUUAUGCCCUUUGUUGUAAAAUGAUGAUUACUUUGCCUAUUUGAAAAUUUACAAUGCAACUAUCUAUUGUAAUUUGGCUCCUUAAAUAGGAACCUGGAGUUUUCUGAGCUUGGGUCAUGCUGCCCCGAAACAUUAUAAAUGGCUUAUAAAAUUGCAACCUUUCUAGAUGUGGAGUGUUUCUGCUUUAAAGAGUAACGGUUUAUCUUUGCUAAUUGUUUCUGUUUGUUGACAUACAUGCUUUGAACACAGUUUCUGAAAGUUUGAAUUCAUAGCCUUCUGGAUCUUGCUGGCCCCGAGGGACAGUGAUUCAGAUUUGUUGUUAGAUGGUUCAGGCAGAGGACAAACCGUGUACAUCCAUAGAAGGCCAUGGCUAAAACUCAACUCAUAAACUCACUAAGUAAGUAAAUAACUAACAAUAUUAACUUCAGCAUUGUGGAAAUCAUAGGGUUGAUGCGCAAAAGAGGAAGAAAAACCACUUUUUGCUACUUUCAGUUGUUCCUUGUCUGCCCUAAUUCCUUAUAGUUUUUCUUUUUUUUUUUGCUGGCCCAACGUUGCCGCAGAAAUUACAACCUUCGAAUUAGUAAGUAGCAGAGCUGAGAGUUAAAUCCAGGCGGUGUGGCUUUGGCACCCACAUUCCUUGCUACUCACUAUACUGCUUGUGAACCUAAGAGUUACUUUCUGUUGGGAAACAUCAAAACUUUCCCUCUUCAUUGCUUUGGUAGUUAUUAGGCUAGAACCUUUUAUAUGUGUGAGGCAGACUGAAAAAGUGGUUAGCUUGAAGGUGAAUGAAUCCUUUCCGGGCAGAACUACGUAUAGAUGGAAUUGUAGGUCCCAGUUUUCAAAGAAGUACAUGUUUACAGGAUAAGAUCCAAUGUUCAAGUGGCUGUGAAUUAUGGAUUCCCUUAAACAUGUACAAUUCAAUUAAGAACUUGUAACAAAGGAUCUUUUCUUUAUGACUUAUGGGCGUUUGCACAUUAUGGCGACGGUGUGGAAAAAUCUCAAUCAGCUGGGCAAUUCAUUUUCUGCAUGCUAAUGCAAAGCUAAAAAGAUGGACCAAUUGUUUAAAAACAAGGCCCAAAGUGUCUUCUAAACAAUGAAGGGAAGUUACCUGCCUGUCCUUUAAAAACUAGUGCUUGAGUAAGUGAUUGUCCGGUGGUUCCACAAAGCCUUCUUAAAUGACAUCUAUCCCCCUCCUUUUUUGGAUUGAUGAUUUCAUUAAAAGCCAUUCUCCAAUUGUCGUUUUGCUUUCUCUGCUUUAAUGUGGUCUGUGGGGUUCAUUAGAUCCACCGUGUUAAUGGCAUCAGCUGGGUUUAGGUUUCAUUGCAGCUGAACCUCACCAUUGCUAAUCACUUAGCUAACAUAUGCCAAUAUCAUGGUACCUAAUGACUCCUUCUGCAGUGACUACUUUAUAUUCCCAUACCUCCCCUCUACAACAAAGUAACAUUGAUUAUCGGUGUGACCUGCAGGAUGGUGAGAGCCCUGACGGCUUCCUCGCGACGUGCGUACUUGGUUUAGAAUCUUUUCGCCUUGCCGCGCACUUUGCACGAUUCGUUUUCAUCCUCUCCUCUCCUCUGUCCAGUUAACGUGGUCGUUACAUGAGACAAAACCCAGGGGCUUGUGUGUCCAAAAUAGUACAGACUUUGCACCAUUUGCUGCUCAGUGUUUCCUCCAACACCGUCUAGGCCUUGAAGUGGCAUAAGUCGGAGCAAUCUUCAUUUGCUUUCUGCAAUCUCAUUGCUCCCUGGGGACCCUCCAAGAGUGAGUAAGAAAACAUUGCAGAUGCAUAAGGACAGUAUAUUGCUCUUCAGAAGUUUUGGUAUUUUGAGAUAAUUUUGGUCUCUAUAUCUCCUUUUUGGUUUCCUUUGAUAUCUGAGACCUGAAUAAAAGGCACUGUCCGAUCGCCUUCUCUCUCUCCCUUUUCCCCUAAUGUGAUUACAAAGGGAAAGCGGAGGGCCUAGCACUGAGGGGUGCUGGCUUUGGGGGUGUAGGCAGCAGCACAGUGCGAUGGCAGAGAGUAAUUCUGCUUCAAGGAAGAUACUGCCCAAUUUUUUAAACUUAAUAGGAUUAGUCAUGGGAACUAUUUUUAGCAGAAGUUCAACUUUAUCCAUGUAUUUUUAAUGUGGGAAAAUUGUGUCCUUUUCCCUCUGCUAAUGUUUGAUGUAUUCCAGCCCUCCUGUGAGCGUGUUUGAGUAUCUUAGGGGAUCUGGAGUGGAGGAGAACUUCCUCUCGGAUUCUCUCUGUUUUCUUUCGUGAAAAUGACAUUCCAAAGCUGUUUCACUUUCUGACAGGAAGUGGAGCCUUGCCAAAAAUGAUUAAAGUCCGAGAAAGCAUAACAGUUCCAAAGCUGCAGCAGUACUUUAGGAGUUCUGAGUUUGACACGGUGUCAAACAAAUGUGAAAUAUUGUUUAAUAAAUUUGAAUAAUAGAGAGAUAGGAAAAAAUCAUUCUUGGCUUAUAGCAGUAGUGGUUUGAAUUAAGUAUGGAAAAGACUACCUGCAUCUAAUAAAUUGAAAUAAAUAUGUAAAUACACUUGUGUGAGGUUAGCCGGGCCGGCGACUUUAUUCCAUUUUGCUAGUUAUACGCGCGAGACGAAAACACGUUUAAGUAUAAAAGCCUAUGUAUUUCUCCGGUGUUUAAGGGAAAUGACUUCUGUUUGUAUGAUCAAACCGUGCACGAGAGGUAAUUAUUUCUUGGAGUUUUAUAAUUAAUUCAAUAAAUUCAUCAAUAAAAUCACUUAGACCAAAAUAGUUUUGUUAAAAAGGGCUAAAUAAUCAUUGGAAACUUCAGUCGAUAUCUGGACUUAGAAGCCCAAAGGCUUCUUAUAUAAUAGCGGCCCUAGUUAUUUCACUGACAACCCCCAUUAAACUGUUUUACUUUUUCACCACAGAGUUAUGCAUUUAUGUAGACAACUACGUGCUACCCCUUCUCCAAAAGAAAACUGACCCCUCCAAAAAAAAAAAGCAUUUCUCUCAAAUUAAUAAAAAAUAUCACUUCUCUGAAAAAAAAUCCUUGAUGAAAAACCUUAUGAAACAUGUUUUUCAAAAAAAAUUUUUUUGAAAGAAAUUAUGACUUCAAUAAACUAAUUUUACUACUUAUUUCUUUCACUCUUUAAUGUAUGUAUUUAGAGUAUAUGUUUUCAGGGCAGAAAGUUGAAACUUUUCUGUAUCCGCUACCAUUGGAUGUAUAGCACGAUUCAUGACCACUUUUUAGACAAGUUAAAUUGAUUGGAGGAGUCAUUCAAUGUCAUUGAGUACCAUUUGUCACUUCAUAAACAGCUCCAAUCUGCUGCCUACAAAUGCAGAAGGACCGCCAAAUAAAUCACAUCAAAUAGUGGGAGUAGAUAGUAUCCCUUCAUCUAUAAUUGGUACAGCCUCUCCUGUCACAUUUGUUCAUUCUUGUGAUUCUGGCGUGGAUUGACACUGACAUGGAAAGGGCAGCCACUGUCAAAGACGUUAGAGAGUCUAUGUUUUGGUGACGUACGUGCUAAUAGAUAUCCAUCAUAAUAUUACAUUAACGUCACCCAUGUAUCAAACGUACAGCUUAGCCAUCUAGAUAUCUGAUGAUAUGCCCAUAUAGUUCUGUUCUAACAGGAGAUAAGCUCUUGGCGUUGAAGGGAAACUGAUAGAUGCCAGAGGGAAUUAACAUGAUUAACAGAUAUAUAAGAAAGCAACACAAAGGUAGCUUGCAUGUGCCGUUUCCUUGGACAUAAUUGUAAAGCUCUAUCAUUUAAUUCGGGUAGCAUUUUCAUAAAAUAUGAUCAGUAGAUACACUAUGCUUUUGCUAAUUUCCAAACAUCUUUCAUUUGAAGAAUUCUUAUUCUUGUCAGGCAAAAAAAAAAAAAGCUGCUAUUACAAUUAAUGCUUUAUAUUAUGUCCUAGGUUUAGGCUUUAAUGAAAAUCUGCUUUCUUAGGGUCAAAACUCUUUUACCCUGCAAUAUCUGUGUGUGCGCGUGUGUGUUUGUUUGUAUAAGCAAACACACACAUACACACAGGCUUUUGUAUAUAUUAUCCCAUACUGCCACACUAACAUUAAAAAUUAACAUAAAUUAAUGAAGACAAUAUACUUCCAUAAUGUCAAGUCUUUAAACACUGUAGACUCCAGGGAGAUGAAAAUGGACUUCAAUUGUUGCUGAAACAUCUCUAAUACAUUGUAUUCCACUCUGCAGAGAUAAUGGCCAUGUCUACAUGACAAACUGGAAAAUUCAGUGUUACAUUAGAACCGUUUUGUUUUACUGGGUUUUUCCUAUUUGCCAUGAGCUUUGCAUAUAUUAUCUCAUUCAACUUUACAGUAAGUGAGAGAGGUGGCUAUUUUUAUUCCCAUUUUAUAGGUGAGGAAAUGGAGGCAUUAAGAAAUAAAUGAGGUACACGAUAUUACCCAGAAAAGAAAGUAACUAAAAUUAUUUUUUUAAUGUUCAUUUAUUUUUGAGACAGAGAGAGACAGAGUGCAAGCGGGGGUGGAGCAGAGAGAGAGGGAGACACAGAAUCCAAAGCGGGCUCCAGGCUCUGAGCUGCCAGCACAGAGCCCGACACGAGGCUCAAACUCAUCAACCACCUGAUCAUGACCUGAGCCAAAGUCAGACGCUCAACUGACUGAGCCACCCAGUGGGAAUUAUUAUUUAAUUUGGGCUGCCUUAUCUAGCAAAAAUUCUUACUCCAUCAUCCUCCCUUAUUCCUUCUUCCUGCCCCGGACUGUCACUGAUUCAUUCUGAGUUUUCAAGUCUCAAGUACUGAAUGUUUGUAUCCUCCCAGAAUUCAUAUGUCAAAGCCCUGAUUCCCAACAUGACAGUGUUUGGAGGUGAAGAGAAGGCGGUCAUCUACAAGCCAGGAAGAGGGCUCUCACCAGAACUUGACCGUGCUAGCACUCCGAUCUUAGGCUUCCAGCUUCCAGAAAUGGUACGGUACUCUCUCCUUAUCCACAGUUUCAUUUUCCAUGGUUUCAGUGAUUCAGUUACUCAAGGUCAACUGUGGUCGGGAAGUAGAUGAUCCUACUGAAAAAUCGUCAAAAGGUGUAUGUUGUUACUCGACUCAACAUCGAACCCCUUAUUGCAUCAGAAAGUAUGCUGAAAUUUCAGUAGGAAGAAAUGCCUCUACCAAAUGCAGAAUACAAAAAUGUAAGUCGCUGCCCUGAAUUUCUGUUGCCUUAUACAUUUCUUCUUACCACUGCUGAGCCAAUGUUUUCCUCUUUUAAUUUCUCUAUUAACUUUAAUUAGGCUCAUGAGUUUGCUGGCCAGGUGGGUUUUCCCUAAAUACCCACAACUCUGUUUUCCAGGCUAACAGUAGAAUUAAGUUAAGCUACAGAUCUGAGGCAGAAUCUAACAUUAUAAGCUAUGGAAGGUUCCAAUGCCACUACAACUCAUUUUAUCCACUGAGGAUUUCAGCAGGCAGCACUUUUAAUAAGCCAGGCUCGACAUUUUUCAAGGAAUACUUUGGGAUCCAUUUUUGAAAGCAAUAUUGGUUACGAUUCCACAGCUGGAAAAUUUCCGAGAAAAUAAUGUUUUGUCCUCUGGAAAACAUACUUGGUCCAUACGGCAUACAAAACAUAAUAACUCUAAGCAACCGGUUCUAAAUGUUACUAACACAUAUCUCUAAUAUGUAAUUUGCCAAUGGCAUUGUCAUAGGCACAUGAUAUAAGAAUAGUACAAUGAUUUCCAAUUCACUCUUUUAUUUUAUCUCAUUUUAUUUGUCUUUUAGGAAACACAAAUUGCCUACAUUAUUUAUGUAUUUCUGUACAUUGACAUAGAUUUCACUUGUAAUUUUCUUACUGAAAAUUUUGAAAAAAAGCAACAGAACAGAGCUGAAAAUCUUCUGCGAUCGUACAGGGCAUUAGAUCGUCUCAGGUACUGGCUGCUGGUUUAAUAAAAGGAUAGGAUUUCCAUUUACUCCAGGCAGGCUUAAUGUAUUGUUCUCAGAGUGAGACAGUCAGAAUGAGUCAGGAGCCAAAGAAUACACUUUAUAGACACAAAUAAUCGUAAAUUCAGAAUGUCACCUUUAGGCAGAGGCAUUUUUAUUAUUGUUAGUGGAGCUGCUGAGUAGGUUUGAUGUUUUAUUCUCUUGAGGACUCAAUGUUCCUGAGUCCUGGAGCCCUGUCUUUAUCAGGCUCGCAAGGAGGGAGCCCAGCCAAACUUGCUUCCUAUACUUCUCUAUGAUUGAUAGCAGAUGGCAUGCUUUAAAAUAAACCUAUCCAUUAGCAGUCCUCAGUGUUUUUACUCAAGGCAUUUACAACUGUCUCAAGCAGAAAACACAUUCACUCUGUGAGCUAGUUUCAGUCCACAACAGCUGUACAGGUGCAAAUCUCUCAUUAACUCUUAAAUAGUAGUGAAAUAAACAAUGGCUUUUUCUCUUCCUUUAUUUGAGGGAGCAUACUUCAAAGCUGCUGUGGAAUUAUUCUCCUCCGCAGCAAAGCUUCAAAGGGUGGAGUUUUAUUAAAACCGCAUAAUAUUAUGCAAUGAUAGGCUAGCCCAAAGAAUGUAUAGAUCAUGUGGUGGAUGUUAUAGUUUAAGAAUUUGUUUCUAUGCACACAGAUUUAGUGGUAACUUACCAGUCUCACAGGAGUGAUUGUGAUGAGGUAGGGGAAAAAAAUACUCAACAAGAGUCCCUAGCAGCAUCGAGGCCCCUGGUGACAGGCACCUCUGCUCAAUGUAUAGCCUCCUCUCCCCUUCCCCUCCCCCUCCCUGCUUGCAAAGGGAGUGUUUCACCUGAACUUUUAUCAAUACAGUGAGUUAACGGUUUGUUUUUAGGCAGUCAAUUGAAUUUCCUUGCAUAUCGGUAGCUAGAGAAAAGCAAAGUCAUUUAAAAGUUAAUUUGUUACCCAUACUGAACACCAGUAAGAAGGUUGAUUUGCACUCAAGUGAAGAAAAAAAGCUUUGUAGUUUAAAAGAGUAUUACUAUUAAUAUUGGCAAACACCUCACAGAACUCACCUUGUGCCAAGUAUUGGUGUAUAAUCUUACAAAUAAAAACUUAUUAAAUCUUAUCAAUAACUCUUGAGAAAACUAUUGUCAAUAUCCCUAAUUUUACAUGUAAGGAAGUCACCAUGCUGUGUUAUCUUUGGUGUAAUUAAUAAUCAGACCCCAUGCCUGAGUGGCUCAGUCAGUUGAGCAGGUGAGCAUAGAACUCUUGAUGUCUUCUCAGGUGAUGAUCUCACACUUCAUGAGUUCAAGCCCUGUGUUGGGCGUCAGUGCAGAGCCCGCUUGGGGUUCUCUCUCCCCCUCUCUCUCUGUCCCUCCCCAUAGGUGUGCUCUCUCUCUCACUCACUCUUUCUCUCUCUCACAACAAACAAACAAACAAACAAACAAACAAACAAACAAACAAGCAAACCAGUAAGGCUCCAAGCAGAGCACUUCCCUGUAGAAGUUGAGAGCAUGGUUUCUAAGGCCACACUGCCUGGGUUCAAAUGCUUACUUCAGCACUUACCGUCCACAUGACCGCAGGAAUGUCAUUUGAUGGUCCCUGUUUUCUCACUUCUUACUUUAUAGCUCCACUGUGGGCUAAUACUUGUUCUUUCCUGUAAUGGUU